AUGGGAUUUUUGCUUCUGUUCAUUUUCGCUGUAGCAGCUUUGGAAGGUGUCUGGUCCCAGGUGCAGCUGGUGGAGUCCGGAGGGGAUGUGAAAAAGCCCGGAGACUCUCUCCGCCUCUCCUGCAAAGCCUCCGGGUUCACCUUCAGCAGCUGGGAUAUGAACUGGGUCCGGCAGGCUCCCGGCAAGGGGCUAGAAUGGGUCGCUUAUAUAAACACGGGUGGGAGUACUAUAUACUACCUUGAUUCCGUCAAAGGCCGAUUCACCAUCUCCCGGGACAAUCCCAAGAGUGAGCUGUAUCUGCAAAUGACCGGCCUGAAGCCCGAGGACACCGCCCGCUAUUACUGUGCGAACGUUGGCUCCCCCGGGGCCCGUCUCGGUGUCAGACUCACAGGACAGCGUAUGUCAGUGUAA
Mauremys mutica (yellowpond turtle) is the source of this 411-nucleotide non-coding RNA. Lineage: Eukaryota; Metazoa; Chordata; Testudines; Geoemydidae. The record is from the annotation of a RefSeq genome assembly.